GGAGGCAUGGCCGAGAGGUCGAAGGCGGCCGUCUGAUACGCGGCUUCAGUGCGUUGUUGCUGACGUGGGUUCGAACCCCACUGCCUCCG
Molecule: transfer RNA, 89 nt
Filed under: Bifidobacterium crudilactis
Lineage: Bacteria; Bacillati; Actinomycetota; Actinomycetes; Bifidobacteriales; Bifidobacteriaceae
Also listed under: 1 other name
Description: tRNA-Ile
Rfam family: tRNA
About the family: Transfer RNA (tRNA) molecules are approximately 80 nucleotides in length.
Source: RNAcentral